GCGGAGGAAAAGAAACUAACAAGGAUUCCCUCAGUAACGGCGAGUGAAGCGGGAAGAGCUCAAAUUUAAAAUCUGGUUUACUUGUAAGCCCGAGUUGUAGUCUGAAGAAACGUUUUCCAUAAGCACUGAGGCAAAAGUCCCUUGGAACAGGGCAUCAUAGAGGGUGAGAAUCCCGUCCAUGGUCUCAAGUUGUUUAUUUUGUGAUACGUUUUCAAAGAGUCAGGUUGUUUGGGAAUGCAGCCUAAAAUGGGUGGUAAAUUUCAUCUAAAGCUAAAUAUUGGCGAGAGACCGAUAGCGAACAAGUACCGUGAGGGAAAGAUGAAAAGAACUUUGAAAAGAGAGUUAAACAGUACGUGAAAUUGUUGAAAGGGAACCGUUUGAAGCCAGUCUUACUUGCCUGUGAUCAAUUUUUGCUUCGGCAUGAAUGCACUCUCGGGUAUGGUAGGCCAACGACAGUUUGGAAUGCGAGAAAAAAAUAGGGGAAAUGUGGCCUUCGGGUGUUAUAGUCCCUUAUAAAAUAUCGUGUCCUGGACUGAGGAUCGCAGUGAAAAUGUGGGCAGGUGGAUUUCUGUGGUGACUGUCGGUUAGGACAACUUGUUGACCUAGCCUUCCUUAGCCUCACUAUUUACCUYGCUUCUAAUUUGCUUAGGUCGUUGGCAUAAUGGCUUUAAAUGAC
Molecule: ribosomal RNA, 676 nt
Filed under: Umbelopsis autotrophica
Lineage: Eukaryota; Fungi; Mucoromycota; Umbelopsidomycetes; Umbelopsidales; Umbelopsidaceae
Description: eukaryotic LSU rRNA
Rfam family: Eukaryotic large subunit ribosomal RNA
Source: RNAcentral